CCUACGGGAGGCAGCAGUGAGGAAUAUUGGUCAAUGGGCGUAAGCCUGAACCAGCCAAGCCGCGUGAGGGAUGAAGGUUCUAUGGAUCGUAAACCUCUUUUAUAAGGGAAUAAAGACUGGGACGUGUCCCGUGUUGUAUGUACCUUAUGAAUAAGGAUCGGCUAACUCCGUGCCAGCAGCCGCGGUAAUACGGAGGAUCCGAGCGUUAUCAGGAUUUAUUGGGUUUAAAGGGUGUGUAGGCGGCCUUUUAAUUCAGAGGUGAAAGGCUGUGGCUCAACCAGAGAAUUGCCGGUGAAACUGGGAGGCUUGAGUAUGUGUGAGGCAGGCGGAAUGCGUGGUGUAGCGGUGAAAUGCUGAGAUAUCGCGCAGAACCCCGAUUGCGAAGGCAGCCUGCCGGGCCAUGACUGACGCUGAUGCACGAAAGCGUGGGGAUCAAACAGGAUUAGAUACCCCAGUAGUC
RNAcentral lists this ribosomal RNA (460 nucleotides) under uncultured bacterium. Its description in RNAcentral is "partial 16S ribosomal RNA". It matches the Rfam family "Bacterial small subunit ribosomal RNA", at positions 338 to 795 of the family's 1533-position model. The record is from RNAcentral.